This 76-nucleotide transfer RNA is filed under the name Bryobacterales bacterium. RNAcentral's name for it is "tRNA-Thr". It matches the Rfam family "tRNA". From Rfam's summary of the family: Transfer RNA (tRNA) molecules are approximately 80 nucleotides in length. Their secondary structure includes four short double-helical elements and three loops (D, anti-codon, and T loops). Further hydrogen bonds mediate the characteristic L-shaped molecular structure. tRNAs have two regions of fundamental functional importance: the anti-codon, which is responsible for specific mRNA codon recognition, and the 3' end, to which the tRNAs corresponding amino acid is attached (by aminoacyl-tRNA synthetases). tRNAs cope with the degeneracy of the genetic code in two manners: having more than one tRNA (with a specific anti-codon) for a particular amino acid; and 'wobble' base-pairing, i.e. permitting non-standard base-pairing at the 3rd anti-codon position. RNAcentral also lists the same sequence under 1 other name. Lineage: Bacteria; Pseudomonadati; Acidobacteriota; Terriglobia; Bryobacterales. The record is from RNAcentral.
GCCACCCUAGCUCAGCUGGUAGAGCGGCUGAUUCGUAAUCAGCAGGUCGGGGGUUCGAGCCCCCCGGGUGGCUCCA